RNAcentral lists this transfer RNA (70 nucleotides) under Ambystoma texanum (smallmouth salamander). RNAcentral's name for it is "tRNA-Ser". It matches the Rfam family "tRNA". Rfam says of the family: Transfer RNA (tRNA) molecules are approximately 80 nucleotides in length. Their secondary structure includes four short double-helical elements and three loops (D, anti-codon, and T loops). Lineage: Eukaryota; Metazoa; Chordata; Amphibia; Caudata; Ambystomatidae. The record is from RNAcentral.
AAGAAAGUGACAGAUUGGUUUGUGGUUGACUUGAAAUUAAUUUAAGGGGGUUCAAUUCCCUCCUUUCUUG